UUUAAAAUAUAUAAACAGUGAAAGUGCUUUUACAUGUUGAUUCUAAUUAUUUGGUUUUCUUCAAUGUAUCAUUUAUAGUCUGAUAGUAAAUAUUAGCCUUUUUUAAAAAUCAUUUUUGGAAAUCAGCAUGCCUGAAAUCAGUAGAAAAUAUUGUUUCAUAUUAUAGUUUUAAAUUAAUGGCUUUCUAUUUUGAGAAAAAGAUCUAUAAAAAAGGAAAGAAAAUUACUUUCACUUUCAGAUUUAUAUUAAAUGGGGGAAAGGAAGCACUUUGAUUAAUCAAAUAUGGGUAGUUGCAUUUUUUGUAUUUUAAGGCCUACAAUUGAAUUUUUAAAAUAUUAAGAUUUAUAUGCAUCAUUAGAUUUUUAUGUAAUUGUUAAAUAAGAAGUUUUAUUGCAUAGCAAUAUAAUAUUUCCCACAGAACGUAACCAAAAGUUAGCGUGCAAUAAAUUCUAAUAUUGCACCAGUGCAAUAAAUCUUCAAAAUUCAUGACGUCAUCAACGACAAAAUCUUAGUUUAAACCAAUUUUUACUCUCAAAUAUUAUAUUGCUAUACAUAAAAGGGUUAUUGCAUGAAUAUUUGGGAAUAUUGUCCCUCGUAGAACAUAUAUUGCACUCGCAAGCUCGUGCAAUAUAAAAUUCUACUCGGGACAAUAUUCCCCAAUAUUCAUGCAAUAACCCUAUAGUAUACAAUUUUUAUUUCAAUAAAGGGACCAAUAUAUAUGACCACAGAUAUUUUGUAAAUGUUUGUAUUUUUUGUAAAAUUGUUAUUUUUAUCUGUUGAUAAAUAGAUUCAUUAUAUUUUGCUAUUUAGCA
This 812-nucleotide long non-coding RNA is filed under the name Mytilus galloprovincialis (Mediterranean mussel). The record is from RNAcentral. Lineage: Eukaryota; Metazoa; Mollusca; Bivalvia; Mytilida; Mytilidae.